RNAcentral lists this transfer RNA (83 nucleotides) under Phoenicibacter congonensis. It matches the Rfam family "tRNA". From Rfam's summary of the family: Transfer RNA (tRNA) molecules are approximately 80 nucleotides in length. Their secondary structure includes four short double-helical elements and three loops (D, anti-codon, and T loops). Further hydrogen bonds mediate the characteristic L-shaped molecular structure. tRNAs have two regions of fundamental functional importance: the anti-codon, which is responsible for specific mRNA codon recognition, and the 3' end, to which the tRNAs corresponding amino acid is attached (by aminoacyl-tRNA synthetases). tRNAs cope with the degeneracy of the genetic code in two manners: having more than one tRNA (with a specific anti-codon) for a particular amino acid; and 'wobble' base-pairing, i.e. permitting non-standard base-pairing at the 3rd anti-codon position. The record is from RNAcentral. Lineage: Bacteria; Bacillati; Actinomycetota; Coriobacteriia; Eggerthellales; Eggerthellaceae.
GAGGAGUGGCCGAGCGGUUGAAGGCGGCAGUCUUGAAAACUGUUGUGCGGCAACGUACCGUGGGUUCGAAUCCUACCUCCUCC